Long non-coding RNA from Centropristis striata (black sea bass), 375 nucleotides. RefSeq lists it as uncharacterized. The record is from RefSeq and is a predicted model, not a curated record. The transcript has 3 exons. Lineage: Eukaryota; Metazoa; Chordata; Actinopteri; Perciformes; Serranidae.
CAUCUCUUGGAUUUGGAAUUCGUAGCCAGAAGAGCCUUCAUUGAUUCAAAUACCAUUCGUGAGGAGGACAGACACGAGAAGGUUCUUGAAGCAUAUCCUUGUUUCAAGGACAUAGGACAUGUGAUGGACGAGCUUAAGCGCAUUCUGGACAAAGACAACCCAAACUUCAUGAAUGAGCUUAAAGGAAGAUGGGAAGAAUUUUGUCAGAAGGUCCAAUAUUUUGGUCUUUGGAAAACGGCACUGAAACCCCCAAUGGGUUUAGACAAAGCUGAACAGGCUCUUGAGAUCCUACGUGUGCUGCCAUCACUGUUCCUGUCUGCUCCUCCAAAGAGGGUACGAGAUGCCAAUGAGGCUCUGGUGCAUGUCCUCCAGGUG